UACGGGGGGGGCAAGCGUUGCUCGGAAUUACUGGGCGUAAAGGGCUCGUAGGCGGCCAACUAAGUCGGAUGUGAAAUCCCCAGGCUUAACCUGGGAACUGCAUCCGAUACUGGAUGGCUUGAAUUCGGGAGAGGGAUGCAGAAUUCCAGGUGUAGCGGUGAAAUGCGUAGAUAUCUGGAGGAAUACCGGUGGCGAAGGCGGCAUCCUGGACCGACAUUGACGCUGAGGAGCGAAAGCUAGGGGAGCAAACGGG
This 253-nucleotide ribosomal RNA is filed under the name uncultured bacterium. RNAcentral's name for it is "partial 16S ribosomal RNA". It matches the Rfam family "Bacterial small subunit ribosomal RNA", at positions 524 to 776 of the family's 1533-position model. The record is from RNAcentral.